This 253-nucleotide ribosomal RNA is filed under the name uncultured bacterium. RNAcentral's name for it is "partial 16S ribosomal RNA". It matches the Rfam family "Bacterial small subunit ribosomal RNA", at positions 524 to 776 of the family's 1533-position model. The record is from RNAcentral.
UACGUAGGGGGCGAGCGUUGUCCGGAAUCAUUGGGCGUAAAGAGCGUGUAGGCGGCCCGGUAAGUCCGCCGUGAAAGUCCAGGGCUCAACCCUGGAAUGCCGGUGGAAACUGCCGGGCUGGAGUCCGGAAGAGGCGAGUGGAAUUCCUGGUGUAGCGGUGAAAUGCGCAGAUAUCAGGAGGAACACCAAUGGCGAAGGCAGCUCGCUGGGACGGUACUGACGCUGAGACGCGAAAGCGUGGGGAGCAAACAGG